GAUUUACAAUUUACCUGGACGAAAAAAGAUCUAAGUCCGUGCGAACCCGAAAUAGAACAUAACUCUUCCUAGCUGUUGUGAGAAGAAUCAACCUACAUUUGAGAAGUUAGUUAACAUCAUGAGCUCUCAGGGUUCUGCUAAAGACGCACAGCCAACUAAGCCGGAUUCGUCAUAUAGAAAAUGGUUUGUGUUGAUGUCUGGAUUUUUUAUCAUGUUUUUGUGCACUGGAUUUCCCUUCAAUAUGUCUGUCCUUAACCCUGAGCUCCUUCGCACAUUUGAGAAAAGUAAGGCGGAAACAGCUUUGGUACAGUCGAUAACGAUCGGGGUGCUAUAUAUAGCAGGAGCCUUGUGCGGGAGGAUUGUUUCCAAAUAUGGAGCUAGAGUGACAGGGAUAACCGGAAGCAUAGUUACGACGCUCGGUCUGGUUGUCUCUUUCUUUGCCGAAAGUAUUCCUC
Mizuhopecten yessoensis (Yesso scallop) is the source of this 455-nucleotide long non-coding RNA. RefSeq lists it as uncharacterized. The record is from RefSeq and is a predicted model, not a curated record. The transcript is spliced from 4 exons. Lineage: Eukaryota; Metazoa; Mollusca; Bivalvia; Pectinida; Pectinidae.